Molecule: long non-coding RNA, 297 nt
Organism: Asparagus officinalis (garden asparagus)
Lineage: Eukaryota; Viridiplantae; Streptophyta; Magnoliopsida; Asparagales; Asparagaceae
Exons: 3
Source: RefSeq, a predicted model, not a curated record
AGCUAAACCGAUGGGGAAUACACCACGUAUGCUUGAAAGAAGCAUUAUAUUGAGGUUGAGAGAUUUGUGACAGACUUCAUAGUUGUAAGGUUUCAGACUUGGGAUAAGUUGAGAUGCAGCUAUUAGAUUGAACCCUGCCAAAAAGGGGUUUUCAGGUGGUUGAUCCUCAAAUGGCCGAACAAUACUAACAUUUGAUGCAAAAGGACAAAAACAAGCACAAAUAUGAGGAUGAAAUGUAUGCUUAAAUGUAAAUUAUUGAACAAUAUUUUGCAAGUUAACAUGUUUCUCAAAUGAUAA